GGGCUGCAACCUGACUUAUAGGAGCGGAGCGCAAGUCGGCCUAGCCAAUGCGCAUGCGCGGUGCACGAGCUGAUUCUCAAGGCACAGUGACCCCCACCGUCGCUCGAGUGAUGGGUCCAUGAGGCUGGGCGAAGAAGGAACCCACUGUGGCAGUGCGUCGGUAUCAAGGCUCCAGCCUGACCUCUCCCAGGGGUCAACAGGAUGGUCUCCGGACGCCAGGAGUCGCGGAGGGCCGACCAGGUUUGUGAAGGCCGGGUUGACCUGGGGAGCUGCGUUGGACCCACAGCGAUUGAAACCUCCCCAUCCUGGGCAUCCUACUUUCGAGAAUCAAGACAACCACACCACACCCAAGGACCAAAGCCUCCCAGGAGCUUAUUGUCCUGCAGGAGUGCGUGCAGACCAACAUCAAAGAAGAUGGUUCUAACUCCUCCCACCUCCCACCCUCUCCUCUCAUUAAGAAAGGUAGCCCCACCGCGACAAUCUUGGAGGAGAAGCCGGGAACGGGACGUAGCAAGGAUCUCUGUGACUUAAAUCUGGCCUUUCUGGCCCAGUCUCCCAUUUGGCACUUCUUCCCGGAUGUGCAUGGUAGUGGCAUUGUGCUGUAUCCUGCCUGGGCUGUGGCCUCUGCUCUGUACUCCCUCUUGCUCUAUCUGCCAUAGGAGCCUAGAGGCUUGGUCUGGCUUAAAGUCUUCAACAAAGAA
Molecule: long non-coding RNA, 701 nt
Filed under: Pongo abelii (Sumatran orangutan)
Lineage: Eukaryota; Metazoa; Chordata; Mammalia; Primates; Hominidae
Description: lincRNA
Source: RNAcentral